RNAcentral lists this unclassified non-coding RNA (634 nucleotides) under Leptinotarsa decemlineata (Colorado potato beetle). RNAcentral describes it as "la1-like protein 13, transcript variant X2". The record is from RNAcentral. Lineage: Eukaryota; Metazoa; Arthropoda; Insecta; Coleoptera; Chrysomelidae.
UCAGUCUAGUCACUGCUUCAGCGACAAAAACGAAAUAGGAACAAUGGAUAAAGGAGAACAAAAAACAUUGGCGAAUGAAUGCGUAUUAGCAAAGUGUUUGAACAAUAGGAACAUUAGAUUAGUAGGGUGUGGGAGCCAACAUGCAGAGCCACCUUGCAAAAUUGUCGAUGGAGAUUUGUCUAAACCUCAUCCAGAUUGCUGCCCUCAGAUUGAAUGUUCCUAAGAAUUAGAAAUAUAAAACUUUCCAACAUUUAAUUAUCUCGCUUUUAUCAAUCUAUCGGAACUUGAUAGAUAUCACAGGGAUGAAUAUUCUUUCAACAUUCUCCAAAAUAUUAGAAAGGGCCUAAAACUAACAAAUUAUUUAGAGAAAAAUUUGCUUAUGCCUUCAAUACGAAAGGUUUCAGCUGUAAAACAGCCCUUUUCAAUAUUACUGAUGAUAUAAUUCAAGCAACUGAUAGAUACAAUUUCGAUAUCGCUGGACUUCAAUAGAGCAUUUGAUGAGCUCAGUAUAUCAAAUGGGAAUAAUUUUGUAAUUAAGAAGCAAAACAAGAGUAACAAAUAUAUUUAUGAAUAAUUGUCUUGGAAAUGAUUAAUUGAAAUACAAUAUGAAAAAACUAAUAAAUUCUGAAAAUUA